CAGGUUUGAGUUGAGCGCAGCGAAACAACGGAGCCGCUCGCGGCGACGGCCCGAAGGGCGAGCGAAGCGAGUCAUCCUGCACGACCCACCA
Molecule: small RNA, 91 nt
Filed under: Escherichia coli
Lineage: Bacteria; Pseudomonadati; Pseudomonadota; Gammaproteobacteria; Enterobacterales; Enterobacteriaceae
Also listed under: 4 other names
Description: partial RtT sRNA
Rfam family: RtT RNA
About the family: This family represents a bacterial cis-regulatory element known as RtT RNA. The exact function of RtT is unknown although it is thought that it may be involved in changing the cellular response in relation to amino acid starvation.
Source: RNAcentral